Molecule: non-coding RNA, 29 nt
Filed under: Mus musculus (house mouse)
Lineage: Eukaryota; Metazoa; Chordata; Mammalia; Rodentia; Muridae
Source: RNAcentral
GCACUAAAUGUUUAAGCUGAGCUUGCUGC